This 253-nucleotide ribosomal RNA is filed under the name uncultured bacterium. RNAcentral describes it as "partial 16S ribosomal RNA". It matches the Rfam family "Bacterial small subunit ribosomal RNA", at positions 524 to 776 of the family's 1533-position model. The record is from RNAcentral.
UACAGAGGUCCCGAGCGUUGUUCGGAUUCACUGGGCGUAAAGGGUGCGUAGGUGGUUGGGUAAGUCUGAUGUGAAAUCUCCGGGCUCAACCCGGAAAUGGCAUUGGAUACUAUUCGGCUAGAGGGUUGGAGGGGGGACUGGAAUUCUCGGUGUAGCAGUGAAAUGCGUAGAUAUCGAGAGGAACACCAGUGGCGAAGGCGAGUCCCUGGACCACACCUGACACUGAGGCACGAAAGCUAGGGGAGCAAACAGG